UAGGGAAUCUUCGGCAAUGGACGGAAGUCUGACCGAGCAACGCCGCGUGAGUGAAGAAGGUUUUCGGAUCGUAAAGCUCUGUUGUAAGAGAAGAACGAGUGUGAGAGUGGAAAGUUCACACUGUGACGGUAUCUUACCAGAAAGGGACGGCUAACUACGUGCCAGCAGCCGCGGUAAUACGUAGGUCCCGAGCGUUGUCCGGAUUUAUUGGGCGUAAAGCGAGCGCAGGCGGUUAGAUAAGUCUGAAGUUAAAGGCUGUGGCUUAACCAUAGUAGGCUUUGGAAACUGUUUAACUUGAGUGCAAGAGGGGAGAGUGGAAUUCCAUGUGUAGCGGUGAAAUGCGUAGAUAUAUGGAGGAACACCGGUGGCGAAAGCGGCUCUCUGGCUUGUAACUGACGCUGAGGCUCGAAAGCGUGGGGAGCAAACAGGAUUAGAUACCCUGGUAGUCCACGCUGUAAACGAUGAGUGCUAGGUGUUAGACCCUUUCCGGGGUUUAGUGCCAUAGCUAACGCAUUAAGCACUCCGCCUGGGGAGUACGACCGCAAGGUUG
Molecule: ribosomal RNA, 550 nt
Filed under: uncultured bacterium
Lineage: Bacteria
Description: bacterial SSU rRNA
Rfam family: Bacterial small subunit ribosomal RNA
Source: RNAcentral